UUGAACGCUGGCGGCAUGCCUUACACAUGCAAGUCGAACGGCAGCACGGGUGCUUGCACCUGGUGGCGAGUGGCGAACGGGUGAGUAAUACAUCGGAACAUGUCCUGUAGUGGGGGAUAGCCCGGCGAAAGCCGGAUUAAUACCGCAUACGAUCUACGGAUGAAAGCGGGGGACCUUCGGGCCUCGCGCUUUAGGGUUGGCCGAUGGCUGAUUAGCUAGUUGGUGGGGUAAAGGCCUACCAAGGCGACGAUCAGUAGCUGGUCUGAGAGGACGACCAGCCACACUGGGACUGAGACACGGCCCAGACUCCUACGGGAGGCAGCAGUGGGGAAUUUUGGACAAUGGGCGAAAGCCUGAUCCAGCAAUGCCGCGUGUGUGAAGAAGGCCUUCGGGUUGUAAAGCACUUUUGUCCGGAAAGAAAUCCUUGGCCCUAAUACGGUCGGGGGAUGACGGUACCGGAAGAAUAAGCACCGGCUAACUACGUG
This 485-nucleotide ribosomal RNA is filed under the name uncultured bacterium. RNAcentral's name for it is "partial 16S ribosomal RNA". It matches the Rfam family "Bacterial small subunit ribosomal RNA", at positions 30 to 507 of the family's 1533-position model. The record is from RNAcentral.